This 73-nucleotide transfer RNA is filed under the name Pseudomonadota bacterium. RNAcentral's name for it is "tRNA-Lys". It matches the Rfam family "tRNA". From Rfam's summary of the family: Transfer RNA (tRNA) molecules are approximately 80 nucleotides in length. Their secondary structure includes four short double-helical elements and three loops (D, anti-codon, and T loops). Lineage: Bacteria; Pseudomonadati; Pseudomonadota. RNAcentral also lists the same sequence under 2 other names. The record is from RNAcentral.
GCCUCCGUAGCUCAACUGGCAGAGCAGCUGACUCUUAAUCAGUUGGUUCGGGGUUCGAGUCCCUGCGGGGGCA